This 1440-nucleotide ribosomal RNA is filed under the name uncultured organism. RNAcentral describes it as "16S ribosomal RNA". It matches the Rfam family "Bacterial small subunit ribosomal RNA". The record is from RNAcentral.
UCAGGAUGAACGCUAGCUACAGGCUUAACACAUGCAAGUCGAGGGGCAGCAUGGUCUUAGCUUGCUAAGGCCGAUGGCGACCGGCGCACGGGUGAGUAACACGUAUCCAACCUGCCGUCUACUCUUGGACAGCCUUCUGAAAGGAAGAUUAAUACAAGAUGGCAUCAUGAGUCCACAUGUUCACAUGAUUAAAGGUAUUCCGGUAGACGAUGGGGAUGCGUUCCAUUAGAUAGUAGGCGGGGUAACGGCCCACCUAGUCUUCGAUGGAUAGGGGUUCUGAGAGGAAGGUCCCCCACAUUGGAACUGAGACACGGUCCAAACUCCUACGGGAGGCAGCAGUGAGGAAUAUUGGUCAAUGGGCGAGAGCCUGAACCAGCCAAGUAGCGUGAAGGAUGACUGCCCUAUGGGUUGUAAACUUCUUUUAUAAAGGAAUAAAGUCGGGUAUGCAUACCCGUUUGCAUGUACUUUAUGAAUAAGGAUCGGCUAACUCCGUGCCAGCAGCCGCGGUAAUACGGAGGAUCCGAGCGUUAUCCGGAUUUAUUGGGUUUAAAGGGAGCGUAGAUGGAUGUUUAAGUCAGUUGUGAAAGUUUGCGGCUCAACCGUAAAAUUGCAGUUGAUACUGGAUAUCUUGAGUGCAGUUGAGGCAGGCGGAAUUCGUGGUGUAGCGGUGAAAUGCUUAGAUAUCACGAAGAACUCCGAUUGCGAAGGCAGCCUGCUAAGCUGCAACUGACAUUGAGGCUCGAAAGUGUGGGUAUCAAACAGGAUUAGAUACCCUGGUAGUCCACACGGUAAACGAUGAAUACUCGCUGUUUGCGAUAUACGGCAAGCGGCCAAGCGAAAGCGUUAAGUAUUCCACCUGGGGAGUACGCCGGCAACGGUGAAACUCAAAGGAAUUGACGGGGGCCCGCACAAGCGGAGGAACAUGUGGUUUAAUUCGAUGAUACGCGAGGAACCUUACCCGGGCUUAAAUUGCAGAUGAAUUACGGUGAAAGCCGUAAGCCGCAAGGCAUCUGUGAAGGUGCUGCAUGGUUGUCGUCAGCUCGUGCCGUGAGGUGUCGGCUUAAGUGCCAUAACGAGCGCAACCCUUGUUGUCAGUUACUAACAGGUUCCGCUGAGGACUCUGACAAGACUGCCAUCGUAAGAUGUGAGGAAGGUGGGGAUGACGUCAAAUCAGCACGGCCCUUACGUCCGGGGCUACACACGUGUUACAAUGGGGGGUACAGAGGGCCGCUACCACGCGAGUGGAUGCCAAUCCCCAAAACCUCUCUCAGUUCGGACUGGAGUCUGCAACCCGACUCCACGAAGCUGGAUUCGCUAGUAAUCGCGCAUCAGCCACGGCGCGGUGAAUACGUUCCCGGGCCUUGUACACACCGCCCGUCAAGCCAUGGGAGCCGGGGGUACCUGAAGUGCGUAACCGCGAGGAGCGCCCUAGGGUAAAAC